AAAAAAAACAAUCGAAAAAAGAAACCUAGCGAUCAGAAAAAAACAAAAAUUUCUGAAAACAAAACUCCUUCAACAUAUGACGAACCGGAGGAAACAAUUGAUGUUCCAAAAAAAAACAAUCGAAAAAAGAAACCUAGCGAUCAGAAAAAAGCUAAAGUUUCUGAAAAUAAAUCUCCUUCAAUGUAUGAUGAAACAGAUAAAACAAUUGAUUAUCCAAACGAAUACAAUCCAACUAGGAAAC
Molecule: long non-coding RNA, 241 nt
Organism: Biomphalaria glabrata
Lineage: Eukaryota; Metazoa; Mollusca; Gastropoda; Planorbidae
Exons: 3
Source: RefSeq, a predicted model, not a curated record